RNAcentral lists this long non-coding RNA (8947 nucleotides) under Capsicum annuum. RNAcentral describes it as "long non-coding RNA (CANN_LNC022515)". Lineage: Eukaryota; Viridiplantae; Streptophyta; Magnoliopsida; Solanales; Solanaceae. The record is from RNAcentral.
GCGUCGACUCUUUAUAAACAACAUCAAAAGUUUGGCACCUUAUAUGAAAGAACGUCCCGACAAUAAUGAGAACAUGACGACUUUAAACUCGAUUUACCAAACUAAAAAGGGGCUAAGACGACUAUUAAUUCUAGAAAAAUUGCAAGCAUCGAGGGAUCACAUAUUCACCUCUAGUCCUUGUCAAAUUUGACACUUCAAAUCAAAUUUGACUUAGGAACUCAAGCAAAGUUGGCCAGCAGACUCUUGGAUUUUUUUACUUGGUGACAUGAAUUUAACAGAUCCUAAACAGAGAUGAUCAAUGGAGGUUUGAGAAGAUAAUAUUCAUACAACUUGGAGCAUAGAUUUUAAAGCCAAACAAACAAAAGUUAGGAGCUAAACUGCAUGAUGGAUGAGCACAAAGUCAUAACUUAAUCGCAUGUGUUCGUAACCCGUAAGUGAAACACGAUGGACUGUGAACGGACAUGAGUGAAAUGACUGAUUCAAGGUGUCUUAGCGAUUAAAAAACUGAAUUACGAGUAUCCCAGGUAAGAAAGCAAGACACCUGUGAUCACUGACUUUAGCGAAAUUGAUUUCUUAGAAAAUAGUAAUGACAGUUGAACAUUAAAAAGAGAAUUUACACUCUCUGAGAAAUUUAAACACGAUGUAUCAUCCUAUGAGUUGAAAAGAAAUGGGUGAGACACUUCUCUUGUGCAAAUUCCAAAAUCGAGGCUCAGGCAAUCUUUCGGAAGUUAAGACAUCCAACUUGUUUAUCUUAGCUCUAGAGCUCAAACUAGACUAAUUAUUUAAGCUAAUUACUUAUACUAAAAGAAAACAAAUUGGGACAUGCUUAGCCAGAGAAAAAGAUAUUCAAACUAGUUAAAAAAUAACUAUCUUUACAUUGAGUUGUCAAGCCUCGCUAAUCAUUCUUAAUGCCCAAGUUAACAAAAAAAAAGAAAUACUUUCAGAAGUUUAAGGCUUGUACAACCUGUUCUUAUGCUAAGUUAUAAGUUCAAAAUCACUUUUAAAUAAACGUCUAUCUUAAAAUAAUGACAACAAGAUGUCAUGUUCAAGUGUUCAUGCAAAAAGGUACUACAAUUCCGCUACAGACAGUUUGGUAAAGCUUUGACCCUUAAAAAAAUGAGUCAGAUUGUCACUUCAGCAUCGCCUUAACAGGUUUCAAAAUCACAGAAAAAUGAUAGCUCAUGGAUACCAAUAUGAUUCUGUGCAUAACACAGAAGGAAAAGUUUACGUCUAGAUUUUAACAUCUACAUUUACUUGAAAAUAUGUCAACAUGUUUUGUUAUCUUAUAUUUUUUGGAAACAGUUUUCAUGCCUAAUUUAAUGGCUGCGGGGGUCUUGUAACCUCAUGGACGAGUACAGGAAAAAAAAUUAAGAAACCAUUACCAUGUCAAAGUACCCAAACCAACGUUACACUAAAUUUUAAACAAUCAGUUACUCUACAAAUAUGCCUCAGUUUUAUCUAAACCAACUACCAGAAAGCUAUUUUUGCUUCAAGUUGUUGUUUGUAACUUGUCAAAUGAAAGACUAAGAGGGAACUUAGACAAACAACUUGCGCAUUGGGGAACUUAGACAGAUGUACAAGGAUGGGUCCAAACACUAGUUCAUGUGGCAAGCAGGUUAACAGAGUCGAGAACAUACUAAACCAACAUAAUUUUAGGGUGCAGUAAUGGACAAACAAGAUUCUGAUUUUGAUCCUAUUUAAAGGUUGUGACUUAUGCCAGCCACUUAGUACUUAGAGAGACCCUUAUAGGAAACGACAUGUCACACAUUACUGAUGCAAAAUAAUCAUAUUCAGAAAGAAACGAAAUGAGAAUAACACUUAAAAAUUAGAAAUUUGCAAGAGAAAAGAAAAAAAGGAACUUUAGAUCUAAGGUUAGUCCUUCAUAUUCAAGAAGACUUUACUGCUUUGAACUCAUAUGUAAUUAGACAUAUUACACAGAACAUCCCCACAUGAUAAUGCAUUCAAAUAGAGAUGGGUACUUUCGAAAAUAAUUAAAGGAAACAGAGCGAGUCAAAAUUGGGUGUCAACAGUUGCCCCUGAUUGACAAAAGAUUAGUGUGAAAAUCUUUGGACAAUCACGUUGACGUAACCCAUUUUGCCUCGGGCGAAACAAAAUAUUUGGAAGAUUAUGGUUGGGCUCCGAUUUCUGAGCUACCUAUAUAUCUCGGGUAUCAGGAAAAGUCAGGCCAUCUAUAGUUCAAACCAUAGCAAAAUUUUGAUAAAUAUCAAAAUUUACCCAGCGUGGAAUUAUGGUAACACUGGGUUCCCUUGAGGAUGAUAACAAAGAUUUUAGCAUGUAUGAAAUAGAUAUGAGUGCAUUUAUCCUAAAUUGGUUGUUUGAGAUGGCUGGGAAUGUGAGAUCGAUGGAUAGCAACAUCUGCUGAGGAUCUUGAGAGAAAAGGGGAUUAUGAACUUUUAAAAAUUGCUCAGUGUCAGAUCAAGACGACACUGGGCUAUGACGCUAGGAAAAUGAGAUGACUGAGCCGAGUUGAUUUGAGUUGAGUUUCUUCACCGGAAUCUUUGACGUAGCUAGGGAUGCUUGACAUUCCACUAGCUUGCCCUAGUUUGUUGCUAAGAGGGUAGGUCCACGUUGUAUUGCAUGGUCCUGCAAAAUAGGUUAAAAGAGUGAAAAGUACCUGUUGUUCAAAAAUUGUAAUGUAAAGAGUAGAGUUAGAUAUUCAAACUAGUAUUGUGAUAUCUAUUUGUGGAGGCCUCCGACUGGUGAGGCGAUAACUAAAAUGUAAAGAGCCUCCGUCGGCUGAGCAGUUGCUUGAAAGUAAAAGGCUCCGACUGGCGGGGCAAUUGCUUGAAAGUCAGAGCCUAUGUCGGCUGAACAGUUGUUGUAAAAUAAAAGCCAUCCGACUGACGAGCAAUUGAGCCAUCCGACUGGAGAGCAACUGGAGAAUAAGCCAUCCGACUGGUGUGCAGUUGUUGAAAAAAUACACACCAUCCGACUGGUGGGUAGUUAUUGAGAAGUAUGCGAUGUCUGACUGGCGAGCAGUGUUUGAAAAGUAAAGCCUCCGACGGUGAGACAUUUGCCCAAAGGUAAAUUGGCUUGUCUUGGCAAGGCGACCUUUGAUCUGAACCAGAUAAAUUAAAAUGAUGUAGUGACCAGGCCUGACUCGGUCUGCCUAUGCAUCCAAGUGUAAUCAGGUCAGGCCGUAGUUCAGUACAAUGAAAGGGUUAUAAUAUGAAGGGACCAAAUCCCAUAAGGAUUGCCUACGUAUCCCGUCAUGGAAAGUCAGGUCGAGCGUAGUUCUAAAUACAUAAAAGGAUAAUGUUUUUGGGUUUUUCUAAGGGAAACCGAACCCUAUAUGGGUUGCCUAUGUAUCCCACCGUGGGAAGUCAGGCGAAUACGUAGUUCUUUUACAUUAGAGAAAAAUGCAGAAGUACGAAAAAAUAACAAGUCUUAAUGUUUUCAAAUGUAUUACUUCUUGAUGGUGUUUGAAUUGAUCGGCUUCGUGCUUACUGUGUCGUCCAUCUCUGCAAGGAUCACUGCUCCCUCUGAGAGUACUCGAUGAACUAUGUAGGGACCUUGCCAAUUUGAUGCAAAUUUCCCUUUAGUUUCUCCUGGUGAGGAAAUAUCUUCUUCAAUACCAAUUGUCCAGGUGUGAAGGCUUGACUUUCUUGUUGAAUGCCUUGAUCAUUCAAUUUUGAUAGAGUUGACCAUGACACACUGCGUCUAAUAAGCAUCAAUUGUUCCAUUCAGCGUCAUCUAAACCGACCUCUUAGAUGACUCUCAGUGAGGGUAUCUCUACUUCUGCAGGUAUCACUGCCUCUGAACCGUAAAUCAGUAUGUAUAGAGUUUCCCUAGUGGAUGUUCUGAUUAUGGUGCGAUAGCCGAGCAAAGCAUAUGGUAGCUUCUCAUGCCAUUCCCUGUUGCCGUCUACUAUCUUCCUCAAGAUUCUCUUGAUAUUCUUGUUUCAGCUUCAACUGCUCCAUUCAUUUGCGGUCGAUAUGUCGUGGAGUUUCUAUGAGAGAUCUUAAACCUUUCACAAAUCUGUCAUUAGGUCGCUAUUGAGAUUGGCCCCGUUAUCUGUUAUGAUUGACUCUGGGAUUCCAAACCGACAAACUAAGUUAUUGCAGAUGAAAUCUGCUACCACCUUCUUGGUUACGACCUUAUGUGUUGAAGCUUCAACCCAUUUUGUGAAAUAGUCGAUAGCUACCAAGAUAAAAUGUUGUCCAUUGGACGCAGGAGGCUCUAUGAGCCCAAUAACAUCCAUGCCCCAACCAGCAAACGGCCAAGGAGAACCUAUCACAUUAAACGACGAGUACCGUAUAAAAUCCUCAUGAACUUGACAUUGGUGACAUUUCUACACGUAUCGGAUUCUAUCCUUCUCUAUGGUCAUCCAAAAGUAGGUACAAACAAACUCAUUUCGGUACUCGUCGUAACUCUCCAAACGGUUGUAUCUUCUGAAAAGGUAAUCCAACUUUAACUUCCCAUCUUCCACAUUCCUUAGUGAUGAAAAGAUAUCCAAUCCCAACAGACCCAAGAAAUGCAACUUCCUUACAGGUGACGGGAGUACCGGCAACUUCCCUCGAAGUAGUAGCUCAGCGAAGUCACUAACUUCUUCUAGGGUAAGGGUGAUCUCAAAAUCUAGAAACUUGAAGGUCAUAGUGUUCGGCUCCCAAAAUUCCAUCAAUAGCGUAAUGAGGGCUUUAUUAGCUCGAACCCUCAUUAGCGAUAAUAGAGCACCCAAGUGUUCCCGAACCUCCGCACCAUGCGCCACAAAGAUAUUUCUCCACCAGUUCUGCAGGUUAUCAGGGGUAGAGAUGACCAUUUGGAUAUUUGGCAAAUGACCAUUUGAAUAUUUGGCAAAUUUGGGUUAAUAUUCAUCUGAAAGGAAAAGAAAAGGAUAUGGUAAGUCAUUUACCUCAAAUCCAUUAUGUGUUUUAGUUUUGACCGUUCACACCAAUUUUCUCACAAAAAUAUGUCGACAGGUUUGUAACCUUUGACAAAAGGGUGGUUUCCUAAUUGAGAUGACGAUGCCUUGGACCGUCUCGCCUAAGGUGUAUGCGACAUGACCUAUUUAUAGAGUAAGAUUAUUUUCCUAAAUAUUUUAAGAGUGGGACUGAAUAGCUACGAGAAGGCGCAUUAACCUAAUUGUACCGACUCUGAAACUAAAGAAUCCAAAAAAGGUUUGGAGGAGUGUAAGACACCCCCGCAUGAACCACCGUGUGUAAAUUGUGUACGACCAAAGACUCGAUAGGAAAAUGUAAGUGAUAAAGCAGUAACAUGUAGUGUUGUUCAAACAAAUAAGGAACGCAAGUUUGGACUUGCCUUGCGUCCUUUCACCCAAAGCAUGAUAUAAACACAUGUAAAGCAAAUAAUACAAUAAAAGCAUAAAGAUCCUAAACUAAGCGUGUUAAGGUUAAAACCUAAGUUCAUUACAUCACCAGUAGAGUUGCCAUUCUGUCGCACUCUAUUUCAAACCGGUCGAAACAACAUGCAACAUGUGGUGGCGUGUCGUGACUCUCGGGUUUUGAAAAUUCAUUUUAGAGUCGCCACCUAACUUUUUAGGAAAACUAGGAAAAAUCGAUUUCUGUUUUGGCCUAUUGAAAAUAUUUUGAGAUUCUAAUAAAGGUUCUGGUUACUCGAGGGGAAGGUGUUAGGCACCCCUCAGAGCCUAUCUGAAGAUAGUCCUUACGCUUAGUUUAGGAAAAUAUUUGAAAAAAAAAAUUAUUUUGUUAUUUUCUAAACCAGUGAUAAGAAAAACUUUUAUUAUUAUUUUCUAUUUAUCAUUUUAUAUAAAAGAAAGAAAACUUAAGGUAUGACAAACUUGAUGCUAUCACGUACAAGGGAGUAAUAUCAUUAUUGCAAAAAUAAACAUGUAUUCUAGAUGUGAAAAGGGUGAUAUUAUAAUUUACACACAUAUUAAAAAAUGUAAGUCUUAUAAUUUCAAAGAAGGUUAUUUGAAUAUAUGUGAGGUUAAAUACAUCCUUAUAGAGUGAAUAAGGUACUUUCAUGGGUGUGAGAAUUUAUUUGCAAAACUAUACAUAUUUAAGAGCACGCGAAGAAUAUGUGAGAGAUUAUGAGUAGAUUAGAGUAAAACUAAUUGUAAUGUAAACUAUGAUAAAUAAUAAUAACGAUAAUAAUAAUAGCAAUAAUAAUAAUAAUAAUAAUAAUGACGAUGAUAAUAGUAAAGUGAUAAAAAUAGUUGUUACGAAAAUAGUAAAAUAUACCUUGUACGUAGUAGCGAAUGAAAUGUAUAUACCUCGUAUUUCUACCCCUGAAAAUUCGAACAAGUGUUGAAAAUAUAACGUAAAGCAUUCGAAUUAUAAAAAAAAGGUUAGAAUUAGCGAACACCUAAGAAUUUUGUGACCUGCUCUCCCCUGUGAGUUAGUAUUUGAAAUUCUAGUUUGUUAUUUUUUUUUAAGAAAAACAUGGAGAUUGUUACAUCCAUUUUAUUAACAAAUUAUUUUAUUUUUUAAGGUGAGAUAAUCAAUUAAACACUUCAUCAAAUUUUUCUAAAAAAGAAUUUGCUAAUCCUUAAAGAAAGUUUACCUUUGUGAAUUGAUUGACUGAGUGUCGAUCACAAAAAUAUGAUAACGCCAUCCUAUUUAAAGAUUUGAUACGUAACAAAGCUAUUAUAAACAAAUAAAGCUACCUCAAGCAAAUGUUACAACAAAAUAGAGUUAGUUAACAUCCAAAAGAAAGCGUAACAUAAUAUGAGUAAGCUAAAGAAAGAAACGGCUAGGAGUACUAGACUCCAUUUCAGAGUUCAAACUUUUAUCUCGCGCGACUCCGAGGCUCUUGUGAUCCUAGUAGCAUUUGACCCGAUAGUCGGGUCAAAAUGAGUUUCGAUUGAAACUCCAUCUCCAAGAUUAAAUAAAACAAAAAAUAAAAUAAAAUAAAGAUCAGUAACUAAAAUAACAAAAUAAAUAUAAUUUGUCGGUUAUGAAGAAACGCAUACUCAUGAAUACAUUUCACAUAAGAAUCGGGUAAGUGCUUAAGUUAAGCGAGUAUUUCAAACAAAUUUUCCUCGAAAGACUUUGCAUAUUAAUAGAACCUUAUCACUAACCUUCAACGCUACACCAUAGUGAUAAUAAAUUUCCUAAGAUCCAAAAGACUUUUCAAAGGAUAAUUUUAGUUUUUUCUCAAUGCAUAUCAAAGGGCUCAAAUGAUCAGGAAAACAUUAUUUCUUUAAACUUUUUUUUUGCUAUCCCUUAAUGAUGUUAAGAUACCUAUUAUACCCAAAACGUGAAACUCCCAACACAAAGUGGUCACUUAACCAUCAAAGUUAUUUAUUAAAAAAAAAAAAAAAAAAAAAAAAAAAAAAGGGCAGCCCGGUGCACUAAAGCUACCGCUAUGCGCAGUGUCUGGGGAAGGGCCCCACCACAAGGGUGUAUCGAACGCAGCCUUACCUUGCAUUACUGCUAAAGGCUGUUUCCAAGGCUUGAACCUGUGACCUCCCGGUCACAUGGCAGCAACUUUACCAGUUACUCCAAGGCUCCCCUUCAUCAAAGUUAAUUUAUAAACUUAACAAAUUCAUCAAAUUCCACUUAGAAUGGCGAAUAGAGUUAGUCAUGAACCCUAGAAAUUUAGCUGGAAACACAAAAUCCAACAAAUCCAAAAUGGUGUAAUUGAUAAGAAUUUAUGAAGGUAAUCUUCUCAAGUAUGAAAAAAAAAAAAAAAGAAACCCAAACGACAAAUAAAUAAAUCGAGAGGGAUGGAGUUAAGAGAAAAUAAGUGAAUAAGUAAACCAAUAUUUAAGCUUUGGAAUGCCCAUGACAUGAUCAAAUGACUAUAGAGAAUUAACAUAAAUGUUUUAAUCCUCUAGAAAUUAACCAAAGGGACCACGGCCAGAUAUUAAAUUGGGCAAUUUGACAAAAUUGUACCCACGUUGACAACUAAAAAAACUGCAUGAAGUUAAACCAAUUCUAUCCAAUGAUCACAACGAAAAGUGACUUUAUUAAACCAACCCAAGUAUACUAAAUACACGUAAGAUAUCCAAACCAAUUGUUUUAAGGAAAAGCUUGUGUCGACUCUUUAUAAAAAACAUCAAAAGUUUGACACCUUAUAUGAAAGAACAUCCUGCCAAUAAUGAGAACAUGACGACUUUAAACUCAAUUUACCAAACUAAAAAGGGGCUAAGACGACUAUUAAUUUCAGAAAAAAUUGCAAGCAUCGAGUGAUCACAUAUUCACCUCAAGUACUUGUCAAAUUUGACACUUUAAAUCAAAUUUGACUUAGAAACUAAAACAAAGUUGGCCAGCAGACUCUUGGAUUUUUUUUAGUUGGCUACAUGAAUUUAACAGAUCCUAAAUAGAGAUGAUCAAUGGAGGUUUGUGAAGGUGAUAUAUACUUACAACUUGGAGCAUAGAUUUUAAAACAAAACAAACAAAAGUUAGGAGCUAAACUGCAUGAUGGAUGAGCCAAAGUCAUAACUUAAUCGCAUGUGUUCGUAACCCGUAAGUGAAACACCAUAGACUGCGAAAGGGCAUGAGUGAAAUGACUGAUUCAAGGUGUCUUAGCGAUUGAAAAACUGAACUAUGAGUAUCAUAGGUAAGAAAGCAAGACACCUCUGAUCACUGACUUACCGAAAUUGAUUUUUUAGAAAAGAGUAAUGACAUUUGAACAUUAAAAAGAGAAUUUACACACUCCCUGAGAAAUUUAAACACGAUGUAUCAUCCUAUGAGGUGAAAAGAAAUGGGAGAGACACUUCUCUUGUGCAAAAUCCAAAAUCGAGGCUUAAGCAAUCUUUAGGAAGUAAAGACUUCCAACUCGUUUAUCUUAGUUCUAGAGCUCAAACUAGCGUCCUUAUUUAAGCUAAUUACUUACACUAAAAGAAAACAAACUGGGACAUGCUUAGCUAGAGAAAAAGAUAUUCAAACUAGUUAAAAAAUAACUAUCUUUACAUUGAGUUGUCAAGCCUCGCUAAUCAUUCUUAAUGCCCAAGUUAACAAAAAAAAAAGAAAUACUUUCAGAAGUUUAAGGCUUGUAUAAC